GUGGGGAAUAUUGGACAAUGGGGGGAACCCUGAUCCAGCCAUGCCGCGUGUGUGAAGAAGGCCUUUUGGUUGUAAAGCACUUUAAGCGAGGAGGAGGCUACCGAGAUUAAUACUCUUGGAUAGUGGACGUUACUCGCAGAAUAAGCACCGGCUAACUCUGUGCCAGCAGCCGCGGUAAUACAGAGGGUGCAAGCGUUAAUCGGAUUUACUGGGCGUAAAGCGCGCGUAGGUGGCCAAUUAAGUCAAAUGUGAAAUCCCCGAGCUUAACUUGGGAAUUGCAUUCGAUACUGGUUGGCUAGAGUAUGGGAGAGGAUGGUAGAAUUCCAGGUGUAGCGGUGAAAUGCGUAGAGAUCUGGAGGAAUACCGAUGGCGAAGGCAGCCAUCUGGCCUAAUACUGACACUGAGGUGCGAAAGCAUGGGGAGCAAACAGGAUUAGAAACCCCAGUAGUC
This 450-nucleotide ribosomal RNA is filed under the name uncultured bacterium. RNAcentral's name for it is "partial 16S ribosomal RNA". It matches the Rfam family "Bacterial small subunit ribosomal RNA", at positions 354 to 795 of the family's 1533-position model. The record is from RNAcentral.